UGCCAGCCGCCGCGGUAAUACGUAAGGGGCAAGCGUUAUCCGGAAUUAUUGGGCGUAAAGCGUCCGCAGGCGGAAACAUAAGUAGGUUAUUAAAUACCGGAGCUCAACUUCGGUGCUGUAAUCUAAACUGUGUUUCUAGAGGAUGGGAGAGGUAUGUGGAAUUGUGCAAGUAGGGGUAAAAUCCGUAGAUAUGCACAGGAACACCAAAAGCGAAGGCAACAUACUGGACCAUUCCUGACGCUCAGGGACGAAAGCGUAGGUAGCAAAACGGAUUAGAUA
RNAcentral lists this ribosomal RNA (279 nucleotides) under uncultured bacterium. RNAcentral's name for it is "partial 16S ribosomal RNA". It matches the Rfam family "Bacterial small subunit ribosomal RNA", at positions 506 to 784 of the family's 1533-position model. The record is from RNAcentral.